This 1053-nucleotide long non-coding RNA is filed under the name Lonchura striata (white-rumped munia). RNAcentral's name for it is "domestica (Bengalese finch) lncRNA (ENSLSDG00000012983.1)". The record is from RNAcentral. Lineage: Eukaryota; Metazoa; Chordata; Aves; Passeriformes; Estrildidae.
AUGGGAAAAGGCUUUGGAAAGGCAUCCAUCAGGGGCAAGCAUCUCCAUCCUGCAGCCUGGGGAGAAGGUAGCAGGGACUGGGGACACCCAUCAGAGCACUGCCAGCAGUGGGGACAGCCCAGCCUCACCCACAGCCCCAGCCCCAUGUCCUCGGAGCCCUUGGACGGGGCUGAGCGGAGAGGAAGCGGCUGGGAAAGUGGAUUUGGGGUUUUCCCUUUUCUCUGGCCCAGCACUGGAGGUUUUGGUGCCCCUGGCUGGCGUGGCUGUGAGGGGACACCUCGCAGAGCCCGUCCCCCCAGCCCUGCGGGAGCGAUGGGCUCACGUGGAGCACCCCGGGCGGGACCGGGCUGCAGAUCCAGCACCACGUCCCAGAUGCAGCACCACGUCCCUCACCCACGGCACAGGAGCUGCUGCCCCGCUGGGGCUGCACACAGCCCGUGGGGGACCCCCGGAACAAGGAAAAUCACCCCAAACGGCCGAGGCUGGCACGGCUCUGGAGGCAGCUCCCGCACCUCCAGCCCCACUGGAGACCCUUCACAACCCUUCAUCCCACCUGCGCUGCCUGUGAAACAGGGGCAGGGUUUUGUGGCCACAGCCCCCGUGGGAAGCAGCCCUGCUCCCCCUGCUCCCCCUGCUCCCCCUCCCAUGCAGCUUUCCAGGAGAAGGCUGGCCCUGAAUGCACAAAAUGAAAAUGAAAAUGCCUGCCAGAAACUCCUGCACCCCCACGGAUGCUCCCUGCCAUGCCCACCGUGGGUUUACCUCCGCCCCGAGCAGCCUGGCACACUCCCAGUCCAGGGGCAAGAGCAGCAAGGGAUGCCCCCACCAGCAAACCGCCGCCCAGCAGAGCUGCCGGGUGCCCGGGCACCGUCCGGCCCCGCGCAGGAGCGUGGCCCGGCGGAGAUGGCACCACCCCGGUGCCACCUGCGGAAUUCCCUUUACAACAAAAACCAAACAAAGUACCUAUUUAUUUCUAUAAACAGAAGAAGGAAAAAGAAAAAAAAGAUUUUAAAGGAAAAUUAUAUACUCAGCAUGUUUCUACACUCUAUGCUUUAA